Molecule: ribosomal RNA, 503 nt
Filed under: uncultured bacterium
Lineage: Bacteria
Description: partial 16S ribosomal RNA
Rfam family: Bacterial small subunit ribosomal RNA
Source: RNAcentral
AACGAACGCUGGCGGCGUGUUUAAGACAUGCAAGUCGCACGGGACUAUUUGAGUAGCAAUACAAGAAUAGUUUAGUGGCGCACGGGUGAGUAACACGUGAAUUACAUGCCCUGCAGAGGGGGAUAGCCCAGGGAAACUUGGAUUAAUACCCCAUGGUAUCGCAAGAUUAAAGGUGGCCGCAAGGCUGUCGCUGCAGGAUUGGUUCGCGCCCUAUCAGCUUGUUGGUGAGGUAACGGCUCACCAAGGCUACGACGGGUACCUGGUCUGAGAGGACGAUCAGGCACACUGGAACUGAGACACGGUCCAGACACCUACGGGUGGCAGCAGUCGAGAAUAAUUCACAAUGGGGGCAACCCUGAUGGUGCAACGCCGCGUGGAGGAUGAAGGUCUUCGGAUUGUAAACUCCUGUCAUCCGGGAGUAAGACCUGGCGAUGAAUAGUCGACAGGGUUGAUAGUACCGGAAGAGGAAGGGACGGCUAACUUCGUGCCAGCAGCCGCAGUAA